This is a non-coding RNA of Cinara cedri, 306 nucleotides long. NCBI's taxonomy places the organism in Eukaryota, Metazoa, Arthropoda, Insecta, Hemiptera, Aphididae. The record is from the annotation of a GenBank genome assembly.
UAUGUCUCACGUGCGGACACAUAUUAUUAUUAUACCUAUCGCUUUCCGCCGUCUCAUUACACUCGUUGCGCACUACACUGUGAUACCGCGCUCCGCGUGUUUUGUACCCGCACUGUACGAUAACAAGAAACGAACCGUUCGUAGUAAACAGUUGACCGUCUUAUUAACGUAAUUUUCGUUCGAAUCGAUAACAGUUAUCGAAUUAAAGUACUGAUCAAAGUCGUACAAAAUACCGAUUAACGUGUACGUUAUCAUUAUCGACACCAUUGCAACGCCUUGAAAACCGACGGUUAAUUGUUUGCACUC